AAGGGGGAGUAGCCCAAUGGUUGCGGUCGGAGUGACACGUCCACCAAACAGAGUUCGAAUCCUGAUGGGAGUCGAAUAUCUUGCAUUUCUCGCUAAGGAGGCCUUAUAAAUAAAUUGCCAUUCCAAUUUUUUUUAUCCGUCCGCAAUUACCUCAUCCUCCUCUGCCCCCGAUUCCUUCUCUCCUCGCAGCAGCCCCCGCCCCCUUCUCAAAGCUCCGCCAUCCCCGUCCUGUACUCCCUUGGAAAAGAUCGAUUUUUUUUCGACGGGAGGAGUCAUUCCGGUUUGAUCCGUCCUGUACUCCCUUGGAAAAGAUCGAUUUUUUUCGACGGGAGGAGUCAUUCCGGCUUGAUCCGGUGGUGGCGAUGCCGGCCAGAUCCUGCGACGGCGCCGACGCGAGCCACCAAGGGCCGUGGACUCCCUCUCUGGCUGCGCUUCCGCCAAACCCUAGCGGCUCGGCGUCCUGGCGACCAUCUCCGAGGUGGUUUCUUUCUGCAGCAGCCAGCCCAUGGAGAAGGCCCGGACAAAUUCUCGGAGCAGUACGCCCGCCGCUCCAGCACCUUUCCUCACCGCCGUCGUCAUUCAAGGUCACCCCCAUCCUUUAAUCCUUUUCUAUGCAUCAUCAUGCGUAUUUGUAUUUGUGCUACACCAUCAUGCUUCUUUUUGCUGCUCAAUCAGAUUAGAAUCAGCAAUUAUGGAUCUUUGUUGCAUAUGGUGUAAAUUUGUGCGUUGCAUAAAUGUGUCAAAAUUAAAAACUGUUAACAUGUUCAUAUAUUUUUAUCUUCUCUCCACUAAUACUGAAACAAUCAAUGUUGCUCAGAGUUGCUUGAUAUGUCGUUCAAGUCCAUCACAGCUGCUUGGGGAAGUGGGGAGCUAGUUAACUGUGGUUUCACAUUAUCUGAGGCAAAGUUGUAAUAAGUGAGCGACAAGUAAUAUGGAUCGGAGGGAGUACCUAAAUUGGAGUUCAGAAAAUUAUGAGGCAUCUCUACCCAACUAGAGAGGACAGAUUAGAUUAGGCC
RNAcentral lists this long non-coding RNA (1016 nucleotides) under Triticum aestivum (bread wheat). Its description in RNAcentral is "long non-coding RNA (TAES_LNC016621)". Lineage: Eukaryota; Viridiplantae; Streptophyta; Magnoliopsida; Poales; Poaceae. The record is from RNAcentral.